AGUUUGAUCCUGGCUCAGAUUGAACGCUGGCGGCAUGCCUUACACAUGCAAGUCGAACGGCAGCGGGCCUUCGGGUGCCGGCGAGUGGCGAACGGGUGAGUAAUGCAUCGGAACGUGCCAUUGAGUGGGGAUAACGUAGCGAAAGUUGCGCUAAUACCGCAUAUUCUGUGAGCAGGAAAGCAGGGGACCGCAAGGCCUUGCGCUCUUUGAGCGGCCGAUGUCAGAUUAGCUAGUUGGUGAGGUAAAGGCUUACCAAGGCGACGAUCUGUAGCGGGUCUGAGAGGAUGAUCCGCCACACUGGAACUGAGACACGGUCCAGACUCCUACGGGAGGCAGCAGUGGGGAGUUUUGGACAAUGGGCGCAAGCCUGAUCCAGCCAUUCCGCGUGAGUGAAGAAGGCCUUCGGGUUGUAAAGCUCUUUCGCAAGGAAAGAAAACUUAUCUCCUAAUACGAGGUGAGGUUGACGGUACCUUGAUAAGAAGCACCGGCUAACUACGUG
RNAcentral lists this ribosomal RNA (499 nucleotides) under uncultured bacterium. RNAcentral's name for it is "bacterial SSU rRNA". It matches the Rfam family "Bacterial small subunit ribosomal RNA", at positions 10 to 507 of the family's 1533-position model. The record is from RNAcentral.